Zootermopsis nevadensis is the source of this 631-nucleotide long non-coding RNA. RefSeq lists it as uncharacterized. NCBI's taxonomy places the organism in Eukaryota, Metazoa, Arthropoda, Insecta, Blattodea, Termopsidae. The record is from RefSeq and is a predicted model, not a curated record.
UCUCAACCUUUCCUACGUGGCGUUGUAUUAACGUAACUUCCAGUAACUCAUAACCAGGCAUAUUAUGCCGUAUAGAAAAAUUGUGUGUGUAUGUAUAUGUGUUUGUGUGUACGUAUGCAUGUAUGUGUUUUAUUUUUACAUGCACAUAAGCUAUGAUCACGUUGGUCCUCAUUACAUGUUAUCACUUUGAUUAUACAGGUGACUGUCGUUAUACGCACUUUCGCUGUCUGCGUUUUGUUUCAGUAUUAUUAGAAGCAUUAAUAUCUUAACCGUGGUCAAAUUUUAAAGACUAUUUCCUGCGCCAAACGUUUUCCACCCUUAUCAGGGAAUGUGACGCAGAUGAUGCUUGGCGUUCAAGAAUUCUGGCGGCAUUUUAACGUGAAAAAGGAAGGCCUGAAAUAAAAGUGACAGAAGUAAUGCCAUUUUAGGAAGGUUCUUAAAAACAUUAAGUGUUAAAUAUAAACAAAAGUUAAAUAAAUGAAGACAGCAGAAACAAUUUUAUCGCAAACCGAAAAAAUUAAAUUCGGGGCUGAAAAACAUUUCAAUGCUGUAAUUGCACUUCUUGAUCUGUUGUUAAAUGUAAAAAGUCUUUUCUAAUUCAUGAUAAGAUUAAAGGCACGUCGCUUAAGAA